Molecule: ribosomal RNA, 465 nt
Filed under: uncultured bacterium
Lineage: Bacteria
Description: partial 16S ribosomal RNA
Rfam family: Bacterial small subunit ribosomal RNA
Source: RNAcentral
GACGAACGCUGGCGGUGUGCUUAACACAUGCCAGUCGAACGGUAAGGCCCUUUCGGGGGUACACGAGUGGCGAACGGGUGAGUAACACGUGAGUAACCUGCCCUCAUCUCUGGGAUAACAGUCGGAAACGGUUGCUAAUACUGGAUAUGAGCCUGCAAGGCAUCUUGUGGGUUGGAAAGAUUUUUUGGUUGGGGAUGGACUCGCGGCCUAUCAGCUUGUUGGUGAGGUAGUGGCUCACCAAGGCUUCGACGGGUAGCCGGCCUGAGAGGGCGACCGGCCACAUUGGGACUGAGAUACGGCCCAAACUCCUACGGGAGGCAGCAGUGGGGAAUAUUGCACAAUGGACGGAAGUCUGAUGCAGCAACGCCGCGUGCGGGAUGACGGCCUUCGGGUUGGAAACCGCUUUCAAUUGUGACGAAGCUUUUUGUGACGGUAGCAGUAGAAGAAGCACCGGCUAACUACGUG